CACUAAUCGCCCUUCGCGAACUCACUGGCGAAGCAAAACCGCUAAUCCCGUUGAACACACAUGACAACAGCACAACGGCUCACAUCCCAGAUCACGAUCGGACAGCGGCGAGAGGGAGGAACGGGUGCAGACGACACCUAGUCGCGUGCGGGCGAGGCAGAGGGUGAGGAGGUUCUCGUCGAGGGAGGCCUGCGAGUGCAGGAGCGACGACACGCUGCCGCUCUCCACAACACCCCGCGAGAUCCGCGAGAUCCUUAUCGUAGGCGCGGGGGCCGAGGAGGAGGCGAAGGAGAGGGGACGAGAUCGUCUGCAGUCACACGAUUCGACUUGCCUCUGUUAACUUGGAAUUUGGAACAUCAUCUUCAACUUGUUGCAUCAAGAAAAAAAUCCGCAGAUAUGAUCUUAGAGCAUAAUCAUAUUCUUCACUUUCCACAAACCUCACACUUGAUGGUGUCUCAAAGGAAAAUUUCAGAGCUACAAGGUUUUGAAAUUGAGACAGCUGACGAUGCAGGAAUUAGGCCUAAAGCUGCACAUGGAUUGGCUAGUCUGCAGGUUGGUGGGUCAAGUAACCUAAGUUACACACUCUGUGACCCUCCAAAAAAUGAAGUUGUUGAAUCGAAGAAACAAGAAACUGUAAAAGUGACAAUGGAUGAAGCUACUGCAUUAGUACAUGAGGUGUCGUUGGAUGAAGAGUGGAGUUACUAAUGAUCUUCAUGCUGAAUUCUAAUAACAAAGCUUGGUGGGGAGAAUAGCUUUUGGUUUUAUAAUUCAAGUGUAUGUAUGUUUAGUUCUCUGUUGC
Molecule: unclassified non-coding RNA, 799 nt
Filed under: Zea mays
Lineage: Eukaryota; Viridiplantae; Streptophyta; Magnoliopsida; Poales; Poaceae
Description: misc RNA Zm00001eb150870
Source: RNAcentral